GCAGGUACAGCUCAGUGGGAGAGCAUGCGCUUAGCAUGAGUGAGGUCCUGGGUUCAAUCCCCAGCACCUCCA
RNAcentral lists this transfer RNA (72 nucleotides) under Camelus dromedarius (Arabian camel). It matches the Rfam family "tRNA". From Rfam's summary of the family: Transfer RNA (tRNA) molecules are approximately 80 nucleotides in length. Their secondary structure includes four short double-helical elements and three loops (D, anti-codon, and T loops). The record is from Rfam by way of RNAcentral. RNAcentral also lists the same sequence under 1 other name. Lineage: Eukaryota; Metazoa; Chordata; Mammalia; Artiodactyla; Camelidae.